GACGAGGCACUACGGUGCUGAAGCAACAAAUGCCCUGCUUCCAGGAAAAGCCUCUAAGCAUCAGGUAACAUCAAAUCGUACCCCAAACCGACACAGGUGGUCAGGUAGAGAAUACCAAGGCGCUUGAGAGAACUCGGGUGAAGGAACUAGGCAAAAUGGUGCCGUAACUUCGGGAGAAGGCACGCUGACACGUAGGUGAAGUGAUUUACUCAUGGAGCUGAAGUCAGUCGAAGAUACCAGCUGGCUGCAACUGUUUAUUAAAAACACAGCACUGUGCAAACACGAAAGUGGACGUAUACGGUGUGACGCCUGCCCGGUGCCGGAAGGUUAAU
This 332-nucleotide ribosomal RNA is filed under the name Salmonella enterica subsp. enterica serovar Montevideo. RNAcentral's name for it is "partial 23S ribosomal RNA". It matches the Rfam family "Bacterial large subunit ribosomal RNA", at positions 1568 to 1881 of the family's 2925-position model. Lineage: Bacteria; Pseudomonadati; Pseudomonadota; Gammaproteobacteria; Enterobacterales; Enterobacteriaceae. The record is from RNAcentral.